CCUACGUGAGGCAGCAGUGGGGAAUAUUGCACAAUGGGGGAAACCCUGAUGCAGCGACGCCGCGUGAGUGAAGAAGUAAUUCGUUAUGUACAGCUCUAUCAGCAGGGAAGAAAAUGACGGUACCUGAGUAAGAAGCCCCGUCUAACUAAGUGCCAGCAGCCGCGGUAAUACGUAGGGGGCAAGCGUUAUCCGGAUGUACCGGGUGUAAAGGGAGUGUAGACGGUUGUGUAAGUCUGGAGUGAAAGGCUGGGGCUCAACCCCCGGACUGCUCUGGAAACUGUACGGCUGGAGUGCAGGAGAGGUAAGUGGAAUUCCUAGUGUAGCGGUGAAAUGCGUAGAUAUUAGGAAGAACACCAGUGGCGAAGGCAGCUUACUGGACUGUAACUGACGUUGAGGCUCGAAAGCGUGGGGAGCAAACAGGAUUAGAUACCCCGGUAGUC
This 440-nucleotide ribosomal RNA is filed under the name uncultured bacterium. RNAcentral's name for it is "partial 16S ribosomal RNA". It matches the Rfam family "Bacterial small subunit ribosomal RNA", at positions 338 to 795 of the family's 1533-position model. The record is from RNAcentral.